Molecule: ribosomal RNA, 250 nt
Filed under: uncultured bacterium
Lineage: Bacteria
Description: partial 16S ribosomal RNA
Rfam family: Bacterial small subunit ribosomal RNA
Source: RNAcentral
UACGUAGGGUGCGAGCGUUAAUCGGAAUUACUGGGCGUAAAGGGUGCGCAGGCGGUUCUGCAAGUCAGGCGUGAAAGCCCCGGGCUUAACCUGGGAAUGGCGCUUGAAACUACAGGACUGGAGUAUGGCAGAGGGAGGUGGAAUUCCACGUGUAGCGGUGAAAUGCGUAGAGAUGUGGAGGAACACCGAUGGCGAAGGCAGCCUCCUGGGCCAAUACUGACGCUCAUGCACGAAAGCGUGGGGAGCAAAC